RNAcentral lists this ribosomal RNA (449 nucleotides) under uncultured soil bacterium. Its description in RNAcentral is "bacterial SSU rRNA". It matches the Rfam family "Bacterial small subunit ribosomal RNA", at positions 26 to 494 of the family's 1533-position model. The record is from RNAcentral.
AGAUUGAACGCUGGCGGCAUGCCUAACACAUGCAAGUCGAACGGGAGUAGCAAUACUCUAGUGGCGGACGGGUGAGGAAUACGUAGGAAUUUGCCCUUAAGUGGGGGAUAACCCGGGGAAACCCGGAUUAAUACCGCAUGACCUCGAAAGAGCAAAGUGGGGGAUCGCAAGACCUCACGCUUUUGGAGAAGCCUACGUCGGAUUAGCUAGUUGGUGAGGUAAUGGCUCACCAAGGCGACGAUCCGUAACUGGUCUGAGAGGAUGAUCAGUCACACCGGAACUGAGACACGGUCCGGACUCCUACGGGAGCAGCAGUGGGAAUAUUGGACAAGUGGGCGCAAGCCUGAUCCAGCAAUGCCGCGUGUGUGAAGAAGGCCGUUCGGUUAGUAAAGCGUAACUUUAAGGUUAGGGAAAGAAAAAACUACGACGUUACUAACACGAGUAGAGUC